Non-coding RNA from Cinara cedri, 1884 nucleotides. The record is from the annotation of a GenBank genome assembly. Lineage: Eukaryota; Metazoa; Arthropoda; Insecta; Hemiptera; Aphididae.
UAUGUACCGUAAAACGCGUAUAAAAAAAACCGUUAUUUUUUCUGAUGCGGAGUAGAGGGAUUUAGACCCCAUCCCAAAAACCUCCCUCGAACCAGUCGAACCAUUUUAAUCAUACGUAAAAGUAUAAUGUUCAAAGGGGUAUACUGAAUGUCCAUCUACUUCUCUUCAAGUUAAAUACUGAGGCCUCCACGAUAAAAAAAAAAAAAACAAAAAAACACAAUAAUAAUAAAAUUCUCACCUCUUAUAGUUAUUAUAUAAUAAAUAAUAUUAUAACAAUAAUUUCCCCCGCCAUAAUCAUUAACCAUAGAAUUUGCCUAUUAUGCAGUUUAGUUGUGCAUUUUGAACGUGCGCUAUAAUAACGAAAACACUGUAAUUAGGUACCUGUAAUAUGCGGGACUAUAUUUUUAGCCAUUGUUUAGGAAAAUGAGUAAGUAAACCAGACACGAACGUACGCUCGUAAAUAAUAUUUUCAGGUAGGUGGCGUCUACACUGAUACGGACAAAUGAAAGGCCGUGACAUAGACUUUGUUUUACUAUUCGCUUAUUAUACAAAAAACGAUAACAUUGACCUCUAAACUUAAAAUUAUUGCAAAAAUCGACACAUGAAACACGACUACCUAUAGCGAUAAAAGUAUGUACACUAAAAGUACCUACUCGUCAUAAAUAUUUGUGUGGUUGGGUUAGGUUACUAAUUAAUAACCCGAAUUUUACAAAUGUAUUUCUUCGGUAUUUAUAUUAGCAAUAAUCAAAUUUGUAAUAUUAAUGGAUCAACAUGUAUACAAAUUAACGGUUGUCUAUUUUCCAUAGCGACGCACUCAAAUAAUCAAAUGUUCUAAUUCGAGUAAUCAUAGAGUUGCGAAUUAUUCGCAAAAAUUCUAAACGCGUAUUUAAGUGCAAGUGCAUAUAGCAGCCGAACGUCCAUACAGUUGAGUUAUCAAUUUGUCAUUUAAAAAUAGAUAUGCAAUAUCCUUCCCUACGCCUCCGAUCUAAACUUUAUAAUUGUUUUAACUCAUAAACGGUAAAUCUGAUAUUAGUGUCAUGCAUAUCAAAAUGUCUAGACAAAUAUUCUCUGUUCGAAAUUGUGUUCAAACUUCAAAAAGGGGGUAUCCUAUUUGCAAAACAAAAGUAUAUACUUAUUUAAGGUAUACGGAGUAGGGGCAAAAAAUAGUUAAGUUUAAACGAUUCCAUAAUAAAUAAAAAACAGAAAUCAGAUUCAUUAAAAAACCACCGAGAAUGUUGCCGAUUCACGAUAAAAAAUAAUAACCCUGUAUGCAGUGAAAUCAAAAUGUCGUGGGAGUAGUGCACGUCACAGUAAAUUAUGUCCAGGACCGGAACCGUGGAGGGGCAGGCGGGGAUUAAUCACCAGCCAUAUUAACGUAUAUUUUCUAUGGAUAUUAACUGAUAAAUUCUUCUUUAAUUGUGAUUCUUCAGCAUUUCAGGAGUGUAGGAGAAAGUGCGUGUUGUACGUUUUGCAUUUUAUAAAUAUUAUAGCCUGAAGGUAGUGGGGCGAACACCGCAUAGACCGUAUAGUAUUUUUAUCCGGCACUGGUAAUGUUUGCGUGUACACAAAAUCAUAUACCUAUACGAGUACAUAUAUUAGAAUAGAAAAAAAUAAAAAGCAUUCACACAAAUUGCAGAACAGUAAUUACAGAUAUCUGUGUAAUAUUAUAUUAUAAUAGCCAUGCUUUUGCGAUGCAGUUUUCGGUAAACAGAUUGUUGUUGUUUGCAACCAAUCGGUUGUGAACAAACGUUUUGUUUGUUGUACUCAAGUCCGUACAGCAUUUCACAAAAUGGACAACAUGCAGUAACCGAAGACAGUAAAUGAAGUUACUAAUAACGAUUGUUAUUAUGUCCAGAUUCCAGUAGUCGAAAGUGCAUUCAGUCA